RNAcentral lists this ribosomal RNA (253 nucleotides) under uncultured bacterium. RNAcentral's name for it is "partial 16S ribosomal RNA". It matches the Rfam family "Bacterial small subunit ribosomal RNA", at positions 524 to 776 of the family's 1533-position model. The record is from RNAcentral.
UACGAAGGGGGCUAGCGUUGCUCGGAAUCACUGGGCGUAAAGCGCACGUAGGCGGAUCCUUAAGUCGGGGGUGAAAUCCUGGAGCUCAACUCCAGAACUGCCUUCGAUACUGAGGAUCUCGAGUCCGGGAGAGGUGAGUGGAACUGCGAGUGUAGAGGUGAAAUUCGUAGAUAUUCGCAAGAACACCAGUGGCGAAGGCGGCUCACUGGCCCGGUACUGACGCUGAGGUGCGAAAGCGUGGGGAGCGAACAGG